Molecule: ribosomal RNA, 718 nt
Filed under: uncultured bacterium
Lineage: Bacteria
Description: bacterial SSU rRNA
Rfam family: Bacterial small subunit ribosomal RNA
Source: RNAcentral
GACUAGAGUGUGUCAGAGGGAGNUAGAAUUCCACGUGUAGCAGUGAAANGCGUAGAGAUGUGGAGGAAUACCGAUGGCGAAGGCAGCCUCCUGGGAUAACACUGACGUUCAUGCUCGAAAGCGUGGGUAGCAAACAGGAUUAGAUACCCUGGUAGUCCACGCCCUAAACGAUGUCAAUUAGCUGUUGGGCAACUUGAUUGCUUAGUAGCGUAGCUAACGCGUGAAAUUGACCGCCUGGGGAGUACGGUCGCAAGAUUAAAACUCAAAGGAAUUGACGGGGACCCGCACAAGCGGUGGAUGAUGUGGAUUAAUUCGAUGCAACGCGAAGAACCUUACCUGGUCUUGACAUGUACGGAAUCCUCCAGAGACGGAGGAGUGCCUUCGGGANCUGUAACACAGGUGCUGCAUGGCUGUCGUCAGCUCGUGUCGUGAGAUGUUGGGUUAAGUCCCGCAACGAGCGCAACCCUUGUCANUAGUUGCCAUCAUUUAGUUGGGCACUNUAAUGAGACUGCCGGUGACAAGCCGGAGGAAGGUGGGGAUGACGUCAAGUCCUCAUGGCCCUUAUGACCAGGGCUUCACACGUCAUACAAUGGUCGGUACAGAGGGUAGCCAAGCCGCGAGGUGGAGCCAAUCUCACAAAACCGAUNGUAGUCCGGAUUGCACUCUGCAACUNGAGUGCAUGAAGUCGGAAUCGCUAGUAAUCNCAGGUCAGCAUACU